This 114-nucleotide ribosomal RNA is filed under the name Pteropus alecto (black flying fox). Lineage: Eukaryota; Metazoa; Chordata; Mammalia; Chiroptera; Pteropodidae. The record is from RNAcentral.
GUCUACAGCCAUGCUACCCUGAACAAGCCCAAUCCUUUCUGAUCUCGGAAGAAGGGUCGGGUCUGGUUAGUACUUGGAUGGGAUACCACCUAGGAAGACCAGGUGCUGUAGGUG